RNAcentral lists this ribosomal RNA (253 nucleotides) under uncultured bacterium. RNAcentral's name for it is "partial 16S ribosomal RNA". It matches the Rfam family "Bacterial small subunit ribosomal RNA", at positions 524 to 776 of the family's 1533-position model. The record is from RNAcentral.
UACGGAGGGUGCGAGCGUUAAUCGGAAUAACUGGGCGUAAAGGGCACGCAGGCGGGCUUUUAAGUGAGAUGUGAAAUCCCCGGGCUUAACCUGGGAAUUGCAUUUCAGACUGGGAGUCUUGAGUACUGUAGGGAGGGGUGGAAUUCCACGUGUAGCGGUGAAAUGCGUAGAGAUGUGGAGGAAUACCGGAGGCGAAGGCAGCGCCUUGGGAAUGUACUGACGCUCAUGUGCGAAAGCGUGGGGAGCAAACAGG